GUACACUCCUACGGGAGGCAGCAGUGGGGAAUUUUGGACAAUGGGCGAAAGCCUGAUCCAGCAAUGCCGCGUGAGUGAAGAAGGCCUUCGGGUUGUAAAGCUCUUUUGUCAGGGAAGAAACGGUGAAAGCUAAUAUCUUUUGCUAAUGACGGUACCUGAAGAAUAAGCACCGGCUAACUACGUGCCAGCAGCCGCGGUAAUACGUAGGGUGCAAGCGUUAAUCGGAAUUACUGGGCGUAAAGCGUGCGCAGGCGGUUUUGUAAGUCUGAUGUGAAAUCCCCGGGCUCAACCUGGGAAUUGCAUUGGAGACUGCAAGGCUAGAAUCUGGCAGAGGGGGGUAGAAUUCCACGUGUAGCAGUGAAAUGCGUAGAUAUGUGGAGGAACACCGAUGGCGAAGGCAGCCCCCUGGGUCAAGAUUGACGCUCAUGCACGAAAGCGUGGGGAGCAAACAGGAUUAGAUACCCUGGUAGUCCC
Molecule: ribosomal RNA, 474 nt
Filed under: uncultured organism
Description: partial 16S ribosomal RNA
Rfam family: Bacterial small subunit ribosomal RNA
Source: RNAcentral